GACCCGUCUUGAAACACGGACCAAGAAGUCUAUCUUGCGCGCAAGCCAAUGGGACCGGUGCCACCUCCGGGUGGUGCCGCUCAAUCGAACACCCAUAGGCGAAGACAACUCGAAGACGUAUGUCACGGGAUUACGGGUUCGGCAUUGGCGCAAGCCUUCGUCGGAUCCCUCCAUCCCAGGGUGCCCCGAUACGGGUGGGAGCGGGCCUCCGGGCGUCGUUCUACCCAGCGGGCAUACCCCGAGUGUGCAGGAUGCGACCCGAAAGAUGGUGAACUAUGCCUGAUCAGGUUGAAGUCAGGGGAAACCCUGAUGGAGGACCGAAGCAAUUCUGACGUGCAAAUCGAUUGUCAGAGUUGGGCAUAGGGGCGAAAGACCAAUCGAACCAUCUAGUAGCUGGUUCCUUCCGA
This 407-nucleotide ribosomal RNA is filed under the name Anopheles vagus. Its description in RNAcentral is "eukaryotic LSU rRNA". It matches the Rfam family "Eukaryotic large subunit ribosomal RNA", at positions 646 to 964 of the family's 3401-position model. Lineage: Eukaryota; Metazoa; Arthropoda; Insecta; Diptera; Culicidae. The record is from RNAcentral.